Molecule: long non-coding RNA, 2063 nt
Filed under: Homo sapiens (human)
Lineage: Eukaryota; Metazoa; Chordata; Mammalia; Primates; Hominidae
Description: HSALNT0395351
Source: RNAcentral
GACAGAAGCAGGGCUGAGGGGAUUCAAGUGCUCAAACAGCCCAGGCGUAUGGGUCACCUGGCACCUCUGGAGGAGGGACAUGGCCCACAGAUGUCACCGUUUUUAAGAGGGCCUGCCCUGAUCUCGCCUAUGUCAAGGGUGACUAGAAGAAGGACGAAUCGGUCCUCUGUGUAGCUGUUUGCAAACGUGAAGAGAGGACAAGGAAAACUACUGGAUGAACACGGUUGUCUUGGGAAGAGACCUGCAGGAAGCUGCCCCAGCAGAGGUAAGCCCGGUACUAACAGCUUGAUUCUCAUAAAAAGGUGGCAAUAAUCGUGAAAGUGUGAGAAGGAAUGUGGCGUUAUCCAUUUAAUCCCAGAACUGAGGCUGGGAGUUGUCUCACAGUGACGUGGGCCAGGCCUCUCCCCAGCAAGGGCGAUUAAAGUGAAACCACUUAGGACAUUUGGUCUAUUUCAGAUCCCUGCCGGUAACCUUUUCCUUCUUUUCACCAACUCUUUUCAAACUUAGGUUUUUUUUUCCCUUCUGUCUUUGUAUUUUCCCGUAACAUAGCCCUCGGGGAUGUUUACUUAGAUUUCCCUGUUGGGGUUCAUGCACUGCCCUGGUCUGUGCCAUGAUCUUGUUUUUGAAGGGACUCUUGCAACUUCCCAACCCAAUGACAAGCACUCAAUAGGCAUCAAAUGGUUGCUCGUCCAUGAAGACAUGAGGUUCUCUUUCUCUUCCAAAUCGGGGGAAAUAAUCAUGAGGAAUAGCUCAUGACACGACACACUAUUUCAUUUUUGUUCAGCCUGAGGGUCCGCCCUGGAAGAUCCUCUUUACAACAUAAACAAUGUGAUGACCAUGGAAUUCAGCAGCCAACUUUGACGGUGGCCAUGACUGACGGGCACAGACAUUUCUCUGUUCCUUCUCAGCAGGCCACGGGUUUCAGUAACGCCAGAGGCUGAGAGAGGAAUUGGUCGACGGAGGCAGAAAUCGUCACAUACGAGGAAAGCUUGACUGCAAAACAUCAAUUCAUCCAGCAACCACUCACCAUCCACUGGUAAGGCCAUGUCCUUCCAUUCUGGCCAGAGUUCCGCAUCUGUGCCUCAGUGCUGGGGCUGAUCUGACAGCCUGUGUCGCACACACACAGGUUGGGGGAGAGAUAGUUGAGACCAAAACGUUUGUGAGAUCAAAGCCAUUGAGAUGCUGUCACACGUUCCCAGGGGCACGGACAGGGAACUCACAGUCACUCCCGGAGGGAAGCGAGUACCAGCUUGAAGCAGCGUGGUGUGGGGAGGUCCUCCUGCCUGGGUGCUGCUGAGGCAGAGAAGGAGGAGGCUGUUCUCACUGAAGGCGCCUGCACAUCUCCUCAGCAGAGACGGGGUACAGACGGGCUUUGGAGAAGGGUGGUCCCUCCGCAGGAUGCGUGGGAGAGGGAGGAUGCCCGGUAACAAACAGAGCUCCUGGCAAGGGUGGGCUGCGGCCCAGCCCAGAAGAGCUCCUCCUCCCUCCAGGAACCUGGAUCUUGUCGCCCCGGGAGAACAUGUUCCCUGCCUUCAUCCCACGGAGCAGGCUUCGUGCAGAAGCUCAUCCUGUUCACAGCUCUAACUACCAAAGGCUGGGAAUCUACAAGCUGAAUCUUCAACCCAAACUCACCUCCUGAAUGCCCAUCACUGUUGCCUUCUGUCACCGGCCUUCGGACACCCCAGGAGCACCUCAGACGCACCCGAGCACAAACUCCAUGUCUCUCCUGUGAAGUUUCUCAGAGCCCCUGCCGUGGCCAAUGCUCCUGGCCACUCCACUGUGAAAUCCACAGCAUCUGUCACUCUUCUGCUCCCUCCUGCUCUUGUCUCCAAACCCAACUAACCCAGCCACCUGCAAAUCUCUCCCGCCCUCCCGGCCACCCCAAGCAGCCACUGGGGACCAUCCUCAACCUCCCCAUCCAGUCUUUUCCCUGGGCCCGAAGCAUGUUCCUAAAAUGCAGACACGUCACAUCACUCCAGUUCAAAACCUUUCAGUAGCAUUUGUUAAUGGCCACUCAUUUAUUCCACAAAAAAUUACUUAAUCUUGGGCUGGGCAUGGUGGCU